Non-coding RNA from Mesocricetus auratus (golden hamster), 455 nucleotides. The record is from the annotation of a RefSeq genome assembly. NCBI's taxonomy places the organism in Eukaryota, Metazoa, Chordata, Mammalia, Rodentia, Cricetidae.
AUGUGCGUAAAGCACAACCCACUACCCUGAGGACUUCUUCAUAUUCAGGUCACACCCUGUACUGGAAUCAGCCUUAGACAGGACACAACACAGACAUGAGGACGGCUACUCAGCUCCUGGGCUUGCUGCUACUCUGGUUUACAGGUGCAAGAUGUGACAUCCAGAUGACUCAGUCUCCAGCCUCCCUAUCUGUAUCUCUGGGAGAAACUGUCACUAUCACAUGCCUGGCAAGUGAAGACAUUUCCUGGAGUUUAGCAUGGUAUCAGCAGAAACCAGAGAAGCCGCCUAAGCUCCUGAUCUAUGGUACAGAUAGCUUGGUAGAUGGGAUCCCAUCGAGAUUCAGUGGCAGUGGAUCUGGCACACAGUUUUCUUUCAAGAUAACCAGCCUGCAGCCUGAAGAUGUUGCAGCUUAUUACUGUCAACAGGCUUACAGUACCCCUCCCACAGUGAUUUAG